Molecule: ribosomal RNA, 595 nt
Filed under: uncultured fungus
Lineage: Eukaryota; Fungi
Description: eukaryotic LSU rRNA
Rfam family: 5.8S ribosomal RNA (bases 239-392)
Source: RNAcentral
CUUGGUCAUUUAGAGGAAGUAAAAGUCGUAACAAGGUCUCCGUAGGUGAACCUGCGGAGGGAUCAUUACAGAGUUCAUGCCCUUACGGGUAGAUCUCCCACCCUAUGUUAUUAUUACCUUUGUUGCUUUGGCGGGCCGUCAGGCCUCGGUCAGGCUAUCGGCUCCGGCUGGUAAGCGCCCGCCAGAGGACCCAAAAACUCUGAAUGUUAAUGUCGUCUGAGUACUAUAUAAUAGUUAAAACUUUCAACAACGGAUCUCUUGGUUCUGGCAUCGAUGAAGAACGCAGCGAAAUGCGAUAAGUAAUGUGAAUUGCAGAAUUCAGUGAAUCAUCGAAUCUUUGAACGCACAUUGCGCCCCUUGGUAUUCCGAGGGGCAUGCCUGUUCGAGCGUCAUUGCAACCCUCAAGCAUUGCUUGGUAUUGGGCUCCGCUGCUCACCCAGCGGGCCUUAAAAUCAGUGGCGGUGCCGUCGAGGCCCUGAGCGUAGUAAAUAUCCUCGCUAUAGGGACUCGGUGGACGCUGGCCAUUAACCCCCAACUUUCUAAGUUUGACCUCGGAUCAGGUAGGGAUACCCGCUGAACUUAAGCAUAUCAAUAA